RNAcentral lists this ribosomal RNA (466 nucleotides) under Comamonadaceae bacterium. RNAcentral describes it as "bacterial SSU rRNA". It matches the Rfam family "Bacterial small subunit ribosomal RNA", at positions 395 to 854 of the family's 1533-position model. The record is from RNAcentral. Lineage: Bacteria; Pseudomonadati; Pseudomonadota; Betaproteobacteria; Burkholderiales; Comamonadaceae.
UGCCGCGUGCAGGAUGAAGGCCUUCGGGUUGUAAACUGCUUUUGUACGGAACGAAACGGUGAGCUCUAAUACAGUUUGCUAAUGACGGUACCGUAAGAAUAAGCACCGGCUAACUACGUGCCAGCAGCCGCGGUAAUACGUAGGGUGCGAGCGUUAAUCGGAAUUACUGGGCGUAAAGCGUGCGCAGGCGGUGAUGUAAGACAGAUGUGAAAUGCCCGGGCUCAACCUGGGACCUGCAUUUGUGACUGCAUCGCUAGAGUACGGUAGAGGGGGAUGGAAUUCCGCGUGUAGCAGUGAAAUGCGUAGAUAUGCGGAGGAACACCGAUGGCGAAGGCAAUCCCCUGGACCUGUACUGACGCUCAUGCACGAAAGCGUGGGGAGCAAACAGGAUUAGAUACCCUGGUAGUCCACGCCCUAAACGAUGUCAACUGGUUGUUGGGUCUUCACUGACUCAGUAACGAAGCUA